Molecule: microRNA, 21 nt
Filed under: Arabidopsis thaliana (thale cress)
Lineage: Eukaryota; Viridiplantae; Streptophyta; Magnoliopsida; Brassicales; Brassicaceae
Also listed under: 26 other names
Description: ath-miR319a
Gene: ath-miR319a
Source: miRBase by way of RNAcentral
UUGGACUGAAGGGAGCUCCCU